AACGAACGCUGGCGGCAGGCCUAACACAUGCAAGUCGAACGCCCUAGCAAUAGGGAGUGGCGCACGGGUGCGUAACGCGUGGGAAUAUGCCCUUGACUACGGAACAACACAGGGAAACUUGUGCUAAUACCGUAUAAUGUCUCCGGACCAAAGAUUUAUCGGUCAAGGAUUAGCCCGCGUUAGAUUAGCUAGUUGGUGAGGUAAUGGCUCACCAAGGCUACGAUCUAUAGCUGGUCUGAGAGGAUGAUCAGCCACACUGGGACUGAGACACGGCCCAGACUCCUACGGGAGGCAGCAGUGAGGAAUAUUGGACAAUGGGGGGCAACCCUGAUCCAGCCAUGCCGCGUGAGUGAUGAAGGCCUUCGGGUUGUAAAACUCUUUAGACGUGACGAUGAUGACGGUAACAUCAGAAAAAGACUCCGGCUAACUUCGUGCCAGCAGCCGCGGU
RNAcentral lists this ribosomal RNA (448 nucleotides) under uncultured bacterium. RNAcentral describes it as "bacterial SSU rRNA". It matches the Rfam family "Bacterial small subunit ribosomal RNA", at positions 29 to 521 of the family's 1533-position model. The record is from RNAcentral.